CACACAGUAAACGAUGAAUACUCGCUGUUUGCGAUAUACAGUAAGCGGCCAAGCGAAAGCAUUAAGUAUUCCACCUGGGGAGUACGCCGGCAACGGUGAAACUCAAAGGAAUUGACGGGGACCCGCACAAGCAGCGGAGCAUGUGGUUUAAUUCGAAGCAACGCGAAGAACCUUACCUGGACUUGACAUCCCCUGAAUGACUCGUAAUGGAGGAAGCCCUACGGGGCAGGGAGACAGGUGG
Molecule: ribosomal RNA, 241 nt
Filed under: uncultured bacterium
Lineage: Bacteria
Description: partial 16S ribosomal RNA
Rfam family: Bacterial small subunit ribosomal RNA
Source: RNAcentral